Long non-coding RNA from Heterocephalus glaber (naked mole-rat), 337 nucleotides. Lineage: Eukaryota; Metazoa; Chordata; Mammalia; Rodentia; Bathyergidae. The record is from Ensembl.
GCCCUUGAAGGGUAUAUGCUGUCCCCAGCCUCUUCCUUCCUCUCUGGCUCUUGCUCUCUCUGCUUCCUGAGUGCCACUAAGUAAGCAGCUUCCCUCCAUCACACCCUUCUGCCAUGAUAUUUCUGCCUUGAAGCCAGCUGACGAGGUACUGAAACCUCUGAAACUGUAGGUUAAAUUUUUAAGGUUGAACAUCUCCAAUUAUGAAGAACAACCACCACCAUAUGAAAUAACAUUCUGUUUGGCUUUAAACAAUUAUGGUGCCCCCCAUCCCAGGACAGAGAUUGGCUUCUAAGUGGACAUUACUGCUUCUAGAUACAAUCCCAGAACUGCUCCAUCC